UACAGAGGUCUCAAGCGUUGUUCGGAUUCAUUGGGCGUAAAGGGUGUGUAGGUGGCGCCGUAAGUCGGGUGUGAAAUUUCGGAGCUUAACUCCGAAACUGCAUUCGAUACUGCGGUGCUUGAGGACUGGAGAGGAGACUGGAAUUCAUGGUGUAGCAGUGAAAUGCGUAGAGAUCAUGAGGAAGACCAGUGGCGAAGGCGGGUCUCUGGGCCGAUACUGACGCUGAGGAGCGAAAGCGUGGGGAGCAAACAGG
RNAcentral lists this ribosomal RNA (253 nucleotides) under uncultured bacterium. Its description in RNAcentral is "partial 16S ribosomal RNA". It matches the Rfam family "Bacterial small subunit ribosomal RNA", at positions 524 to 776 of the family's 1533-position model. The record is from RNAcentral.